AUUUAACUGAAGAGUUUGAUCCUGGCUCAGAUUGAACGCUGGCGGUAUGCUUAACACAUGCAAGUCG
RNAcentral lists this ribosomal RNA (67 nucleotides) under Leucothrix pacifica. RNAcentral describes it as "partial 16S ribosomal RNA". It matches the Rfam family "Bacterial small subunit ribosomal RNA", at positions 1 to 64 of the family's 1533-position model. The record is from RNAcentral. Lineage: Bacteria; Pseudomonadati; Pseudomonadota; Gammaproteobacteria; Thiotrichales; Thiotrichaceae.